UGGGGAAUAUUGGACAAUGGGCGAAAGCCUGAUCCAGCCAUGCCGCGUGUGUGAAGAAGGUCUUCGGAUUGUAAAGCACUUUAAGUUGGGAGGAAGGGCAGUAAGCUAAUACCUUGCUGUUUUGACGUUACCGACAGAAUAAGCACCGGCUAACUCUGUGCCAGCAGCCGCGGGAAUACAGAGGGUGCAAGCGUUAAUCGGAAUUACUGGGCGUAAAGCGCGCGUAGGUGGUUCGUUAAGUUGGAUGUGAAAUCCCCGGGCUCAACCUGGGAACUGCAUCCAAAACUGGCGAGCUAGAGUAUGGUAGAGGGUGGUGGAAUUUCCUGUGUAGCGGUGAAAUGCGUAGAUAUAGGAAGGAACACCAGUGGCGAAGGCGACCACCUGGACUGAUACUGACACUGAGGUGCGAAAGCGUGGGGAGCAAACAGG
This 429-nucleotide ribosomal RNA is filed under the name bacterium. RNAcentral's name for it is "partial 16S ribosomal RNA". It matches the Rfam family "Bacterial small subunit ribosomal RNA", at positions 355 to 776 of the family's 1533-position model. The record is from RNAcentral.